GACCUGCGAGUCAAGGGUGAGGAAGAAAGAAGAGGAUGGCGCUGGACCUGCGAGUCAAGAGGGAGGAAGAAAGAAGAGGAAUGCGCUGGACCUGUGAGUCAAGGGUGAGGAAGAAAGAAGAGGACGGCGCUGGGCCUGCGAGUCAAGAGGGAGCAAGAAAGAAGAGGAUGGCGCUGGACCUGCGAGUCAAGAGGGAGGAAGAAAGAAUUGCACGGCCCUGGACCUGUGAGUGAAGAGUUAGCUUCAGCUAGCAAGCCUGAUAUACCUGAGCGAGGGGACGACAGCACAGAGGCUUCUGCCAGUAACAGUGAGCACCUGACUGGUUAGAGGAGCAAGUGGACAAGCAGAUCCUGGGGCACAGCACAGGGAGAGCACCGAUUCCCCAAGAAAAUGCCAUUGUGCACCAUAGGGGGUACACUCUGCAACUUUCAAGCCCGCUUGUGCCUUAGCUCACACCUACGACAUUGCGCUGCAGAUGCGAUUUUAACUUGGCACUAGUUGUUGUAGUGUUUGGCUUUGGUGAGGCCAGUGUGUGUUGGUCGUCGGGUAGCGUAGGGUGGGCUCUUAAGGAGAGAGCGAGGUUUUUCAUGCAGGAGCUGUCUGACGCUGGAGUGUUGUUGUGGAAGUGUUCACGUUGGCGUUGUCUGAUGUUGGAGCAUUCUUGCAGGACGAGCGGAUUCCUUUGUGAAGGCUGGUCCAGGAGGUGGCGUAGAGCGAGUAGGGAAGCAGUUUAGUGUGAGAGGACGAACCGUGGAUGGUUUGAAGGUAGAUGUUGGACAGUUGUUGUUUGGACAGGUACAAGUUUGGUGUAGCGUAGGGAGCGAAGUUGACUUUGCCUGUGUGGUGCAAUUGGAUGGGUGUGGAGAGCUAAUGCGAAGCGGGCUUCUGCAAGUGACCCUAAAGCUGAAGCUCCAGCCGGCAGCUGUAGGCAAGUUCGCGCUGCCUGGACGGGCGGAAGAGGGCCGUGCACGGCUAGUGGAGUGAAGCACAGCAAGCUUGCAGCUCCGCAAACCACAGCUCGCAAAGAAGAAAGCAAGGCAGAAGAGGACGGUGCUGG
Long non-coding RNA from Tyto alba (common barn owl), 1057 nucleotides. RefSeq lists it as uncharacterized. The transcript is spliced from 4 exons. The record is from RefSeq and is a predicted model, not a curated record. Lineage: Eukaryota; Metazoa; Chordata; Aves; Strigiformes; Tytonidae.